CAGCAACUAAAAUACUGUAGGAUUGGAGGUGACUCCCAUUCACUCUUCUACACCUUUGUCCACACUGACCACCUGUCACUUACUGUGGUAAGUUCUAAAGGGUUAUGAUAUAAUAAUAAUGACAGCUAGUCUUUAUUAUGUGCCUGUCACAUUGCAGAGACUGUAUUAAGCCCUUUAUGGAUAUUAUGUCAUUGAAGCUGAACAACACUUGUAAGGUAAGGCAAUAUGAUCUCCAUUCUACCAGCAAAGGAACUGACCUUGCUCAAGGUUGUGCAGCUAGAAAAUGGUGAAGCCAAGAUUCAAAUCAGGCAGUCUGGGGACAGAGCCCACAGACCUUACAUACAGCACUCUGUUGAGAAGAUGAGGUCCUUGUAUCUGAGGUGCAUCAAAUCAAGGACUGGACCCAUUUACAACAACACUCUUCCCUGUAAGCUCUAUUUCCUCACAGAACACCAGUGGACAGCAUUCCAUGUCCAAGCUGUUCUAAUGAUUUCAAAGCUACAGAGGAGGGAUUCCUAGUAAUCCUAGACAGCUUUGUGUUGGGUCAACCAACCUUUCCUAAGAAAGAGUGAUACUGAGACUUGUCUGACAGCAGGCAUCAACGGAAUUUAUUGUAAUCUUAAAGAAUGGCUGGGAGUAUCAAUAAUCUUGGAUAAAGCCCUUUGAUUCAAAUCUUGUGGAAGAUUUCUUUACAGGUUAUUGAUACACAGAGAGUCAACCUUCAUUUUGCACUGGAAUCUGCUGCUGAAGAUUCCUGGCCUCUGCUGUCCAGGUUGUUGGUCUAAGGACAGCUGUGCCGCCUCCGUUGCUCCCAGGGCCAUUGGAAAGCCGCCAACCAUUGGCACUACCUCCUGCUGCCUGGGAAACCUUUCUCAUCUGUGACUGUGAGUGGUGCCAUGGAAUGUUGCCCGGUCCACCUGCACAUGGUGCCACUACUGGCCUCAUGCCACUAUUACCACUGACCCCAGCUCCUCUUGAUUCCCACAGGAUGCUCUGCAGGCCCCAAAGUUAUGUGGAAUGUGUCCCAAUCUCACCAAAUACCUGAAGAAACGUAGUCAUUUUCAUUUUAA
Molecule: non-coding RNA, 1070 nt
Organism: Microcebus murinus (gray mouse lemur)
Lineage: Eukaryota; Metazoa; Chordata; Mammalia; Primates; Cheirogaleidae
Source: RefSeq, a predicted model, not a curated record